CCUACGGGGGGCAGCAGGAAGGGAUAUUGGUCAAUGGGGGAAACCCUGAACCAGCAACGCCGCGUGAGGGAAGACGGUUUUCGGAUUGGAAACCUCUGGCCUCGGGGAAGAGGAUGACGGUAGCAGAGGAGGAAGCUCCGGCUAACUACGUGCCAGCAGCCGCGGUAAUACGUAGGGAGCGAGCGUGGUCCGGAUUUACUGGGUGUAAAGGGUGCGUAGGCGGCUUGGCAAGUCAGUAGGGAACUCCAUGGGCUUAACCCAUGAACUGCUCUUGAAACUGUCGAGCUUGAGUGAAGUAGAGGUAGGCGGAAUUCCCGGUGUAGCGGUGCCCUGCGU
RNAcentral lists this ribosomal RNA (336 nucleotides) under uncultured bacterium. RNAcentral describes it as "partial 16S ribosomal RNA". It matches the Rfam family "Bacterial small subunit ribosomal RNA", at positions 338 to 691 of the family's 1533-position model. The record is from RNAcentral.